This 301-nucleotide ribosomal RNA is filed under the name uncultured bacterium. Its description in RNAcentral is "partial 16S ribosomal RNA". It matches the Rfam family "Bacterial small subunit ribosomal RNA", at positions 509 to 807 of the family's 1533-position model. The record is from RNAcentral.
CAGCAGCCGCGGUAAUACGUAGGUGGCAAGCGUUGUCCGGAAUUAUUGGGCGUAAAGGGCUCGCAGGCGGUUUCUUAAGUCUGAUGUGAAAGCCCCCGGCUCAACCGGGGAGGGUCAUUGGAGACUGGGAAACUUGAGUGCAGAAGAGGAGAGUGGAAUUCCACGUGUAGCGGUGAAAUGCGUAGAGAUGUGGAGGAACACCAGUGGCGAAGGCGACUCUCUGGUCUGUAACUGACGCUGAGGAGCGAAAGCGUGGGGAGCGAACAGGAUUAGAUACCCCAGUAGUCCCUGUCUCUUAUAC